UAUAUUUACUUCUUUAUAUGUUGAAUCAACCCUGCCAUUGAUCACCUUUAGCAUUUUAAUGCUUUGACAUAAGAAAUCCGAUCUUCUGCAUGUUAUAUGUUAAUUUAGCUAUUAAGGUGUGUGGUAGGAUAGUUAAGAUCCCUCAUCCUCAACUAAAACUUUAUGUUUGAGUUGUCAUAAAAGAUAAUAUCUUGGUAAGGAAUAUUUUACAUCUCUCAACGUGGACCUAUUUGGCACAAAUUUGAAUUAGUUGUGUCAGUAGAUUCAAUUGUGAACGUGGUUCAUAAAACAAAAACAAAACAAAACAAAAAAGAUAAAGUGUUCUCUCGUGAAAUCGACGUACGUAAUUAAGGGCUAAAAUGAUUUUUGCUACUACUUUUUAUAUCAUAGAUAGUACUUAAUCUAUUGUUAUGCAUCAGGAAAAGGUUAGUCAGUUGAUGGACAACGUUGGGAAUGUUGCGCAAUCUACUAAGAAAACCGUGGGAAAGAUGGGGGACCAAGUGAAGACCACAACACUAGGAGCAGUUGAUGCCGUUAAAAACGCCACUGGAAUGAAAAAAUGAACCUCGUUAAUUUUCACCAUAUAUAUUAUAUUUUAUGUGAAGAUCUUGUUUCUUAUACUUUAGGCUACAUUAUGUAGCUUACGUUUGAACUCUUGUUGAGUCUGAAUUGUACUAUAAAAGCUGUAUCUUCAAUAAUAUUGUAUUGUUUCUUAUAAUUAAGUAGUUUCCCUGCUUAUAUUUGAGCCCUUGCAAUAUAUAUAUGAUCCAACUCUACUUGGAGAUGGGUUAUUAGAUA
Molecule: long non-coding RNA, 798 nt
Organism: Lycium ferocissimum
Lineage: Eukaryota; Viridiplantae; Streptophyta; Magnoliopsida; Solanales; Solanaceae
Exons: 2
Source: RefSeq, a predicted model, not a curated record